Molecule: long non-coding RNA, 2681 nt
Organism: Platichthys flesus (European flounder)
Lineage: Eukaryota; Metazoa; Chordata; Actinopteri; Pleuronectiformes; Pleuronectidae
Exons: 4
Source: RefSeq, a predicted model, not a curated record
UCAGCAGCCGAGAUAAUAUCUUCUUGCCAAACUGAGUGGUUUUGUAAGUCAACUGUUUGUCUUUUUAUCCACCCUUUCAAUCCAUCAUUUAUCUCCUGCAGAAGUGUCUUUAGAUCUGUGUCUGUGCUCUUUUCCACUCACUCUCUUUCUCUUCUGCUCAACUUCUGUUCAGACUUUGCGAUUGAACGUCUCUUUUUAGAAAUACACCACACUGCCUUAAACUUGUAAUAGUUUAAUUUCAUAGUUGUUUAAACUGCUUUUUGUUUCAAACUGAAUGGCCUCACAACCACAUUAAAGUGAUUUAUGAUUUGAAGCCUCCGUGCUGGCAAUAGCUAGUGGCCUGAGGCAUUAUGUUUUGGGGUUGUCGUCCGUCUGUCUGUCCCAUUCUAUUGACACAAUAUCUCAAGUGUGCCUUGAGUUUCGUCACAUUUGGUGCAAACAUUCACUUGGACUCAAUGAUGAACUGAUUUGAUUUUGGUGGUCAAAGGUCAAGGCCCCUUGAUGGUAUCUGCUCACAUUUGGCACAGACAUUAUGAUGUGGCCAAAGAUCAUGGUCAUGCUGGCCUUUUUCUUGAACGUGACAGCUUGAGAAACUUAACAAAUUUGAUUGAAUAGCAUAGCAAAAAGAUGGGUGCCUAUUUCUCUUGAGGUUGCUUGUGUAUCAAACAUCCCUAAGAACCGAUGUGUCAUUUUACCAAUGCCACAGCUUCUCUAAAACCUUUUCAAAUUACAGACCUGGAGGUGAGCAUUGACAAGUUGAUGACAACCACUGCAUUACAGUAGAUAAUCCUCAUGAAUUAUUUUUUCAUGACCCCAUGACUUGAUGCCAUUGCCCACAUUUCUCUUACUUUUUUCAUUCAAGGAUAAUUUAGCAUGGACAAUGUUCAGCCAACACUUUGAAAAUCCUGCCCUUAAACCCGCCCAUCUGCAUUUUAUCUUCAUAAAAUGCUGGAUCAUUUAGUAAUCAUUUAGUCUACAUUAUGACAAUGUCGCAAUAGUAUUCAGAUUAUUAAGUUACACAGUGUAAUUGCGUAUAAUUUACAAAAUAUUACAUAAAUGGUAUUCCCCAUUAAUCCUAAAAAGAUGUAUGUGAAAAUUAUUAAAAAAUAAAGGGACAGAUGACAGUUAUAGAACACUGGGAAAUGUAUCAUCUAUCAAACUAAGUCAGGCAAAUUUAAAGGGGACAUAUUAUGAAAAUUCCACUUUUGCAGUGCUUCUACACAUUAGUUUGGGUAUCUGGCAUGUCUACCUUCCCAAAAACUUGCGCGAUUUGUUGUGGUUCCUCUAUUUCAGAAACUAUGUGCUAAAGUGCGUCCAAUGGAAUUACGACCGAAAUAGACGUCAUAGUCGCAACAUGCCCAUGCCCCCAUAGCUCUAUGCACUCCCCCACUACCACUCGACCCACCCAUGGAUGGACCCACCCACUUUUUAGACAGUCUAUCAGUGUCCGGCAGCCAUUUAAUUCUUGCAAGCCUUGGAAACACUUGGAUAAGCUAACUAGCAGCAUGAAUCGAAUUCGACAACCGAGAUGCUCAGUGGUCGGCUGCACAAAUGUCUUCAUGUUACUCCAUAUUCAGAAGAUACAAGAUUGUGAUGGAUUGCGUUCAUAUAUGAUGGCAACAUUCCUGCCACCACUUUGAAUCCGUCUGUUUUAUCAACCUGGGCCAAUAUAACAACGGAUUCUCUAAAAAGGUUGUUAUUGAAAGAGGGGUCGGUGCCAUCUUUCCAUCGCAAUACUGAAGACGAGGGAAAUGCAAGCACAUCUGUUCACGGUGCUAGGCUACAUCACGUAGCAUGCCAGAUGGACCCACCAAAGAUGCGCACACAUGGAACGCAGCUUUCUAUGAAAACACUGCGACCUCACUACAAAAGUACAGCACUGAUGUCGGUGUUGGGACCUCAGCUGUAAGAGGCCUCGCUUGGAGGAGGGAGAGGACAACCCAAGUUGUUGCAAUAUGGACUUCGGAGAGCCACAGGAUGCUACCUAUGAUCCUGAUGACUCGAUCACAGUCUUGACUGAGUCCGCAGAUGUGACGUUUUUCAGGACCCGGCCCCUUAUGUGAAUGAGGUGCUGAAGAUCUCAACCUGAGGAUCUCUCUGCCAAGCAGGAAGUUAUUGCCAGCUAUGUGAGCAUCAGGGAACACUGCGUAUCUGGAGCACCGAGCAGGAUGGCAGGACCACGCUGAUUCUCCAACCCAGAUGGCCUCAACACCAGCUCACAAAGCUUCUGUACGCCGAAUACUUGUAACGGCUGAGCAAAGUUUACAUUGUAUUUAGAGAAUAAAAGGUGACACACAAAUAUAAACUGUUCCUUUGUUUACAGUUUGGGUACUGAUGGCACAAAGUGUAUUUUUGUAAUCAAUGUUUUUAUUAUACUUGGUAUUUUUUCUAUUUAUUACCUCUGUCCCAGCCAUUACAUUUAAUAACUAUUAUUAAAAAGCUCUGUGGCAAUCUUUCUGACAAUAAAAGUUUAUAGAAACAGUUGUGUGCCUUUAAUGUUUGAUAUGUAACAUGUCAACAAUUGACACGUGUAAGAUGAGCAGCUGUGGCAAUCUUUCUGACAAUAAAAGUUUAUAGAAACAGUUGUGUGCCUUUAAUGUUUGAUAUGUAACAUGUCAACAAUUGACACGUGUAAGAUGAGCAGUUAGCAAAGUAAUACAGAGGGAAGAGUAAUUUAUGUA